Molecule: long non-coding RNA, 338 nt
Organism: Oreochromis aureus
Lineage: Eukaryota; Metazoa; Chordata; Actinopteri; Cichliformes; Cichlidae
Source: Ensembl
UUUUAUUAUAGCUGAAUUAAUAUGAGGUUUCUUUUACAAAGUAGUCAUGCCACUGUUUUUUGCAGCUCUGCCCAUUCACUCCCUCUGCACUUUCUGCUGUUCUCAGUCAAAGUUUGGCAACAUGAAGGGAGACACAUCACCGGUCUGACAACAAAUACUAUCUUCAAGUUUAAAGCAGGAGAAGGAGAAGGAGGGAGGCCCUAGAUGGGGAGCCCACAGCCAAUGGAUGGAAGUCCCAGAGAACCAGAGCCGACGGGCAGCUGACUCUGUAGAGGCCGGCCGCCCUGGUGUGAGCCGAGAUCAGGCUCCCUGGGAUCUAGGCGCCCAACAAAGACCCG